UAUUCUGCCCCACGGGGAAGGAUGAGAAGCUUCGACUAAGGUUCGACUCGAGCGAAGCGAGAGAACGUUGCCGCAGGCAACGGCCCGAAGGGCGAGGCGCUUUAGCGCCGAGUAA
This 115-nucleotide small RNA is filed under the name Klebsiella pneumoniae subsp. pneumoniae. RNAcentral describes it as "partial RtT sRNA". It matches the Rfam family "RtT RNA", at positions 1 to 113 of the family's 130-position model. From Rfam's summary of the family: This family represents a bacterial cis-regulatory element known as RtT RNA. The exact function of RtT is unknown although it is thought that it may be involved in changing the cellular response in relation to amino acid starvation. Lineage: Bacteria; Pseudomonadati; Pseudomonadota; Gammaproteobacteria; Enterobacterales; Enterobacteriaceae. The record is from RNAcentral.